UUAAAGAAAACUAUUUAAAAAUACAACCUAUUGUUGAAAAUCUCUGAAAGAAUAAUCAACUAUCCGAAAAUAUUCUUGUUAUCUUAAUUUCUAAACCACAAACCCAAAUCUACAAUAUUUCUCUAAAAAAAUGUAAACUUUCCAAAAAUAGAAGUUUUUAAGAAAAAUAUUUUAAAAUACAGUAUAUUGAUGAAUAACUUUGAAAGAAUACUCAAAUAUCCACAAAUAUUCUUGUUAUCUUAAUUUCAAAAUCACAUAUCGAAAUCUACAAUAUUUUUCUAAAAAACUUUCCAAAAAUAGCAGUGUUUACGAAAAUUAUUUAAAAAUACAACAUAUUGAUGAAAAAUUUUCAAUGGAUACUCAUCUACCCACAAAUGUUCAUGUUAUCUUAAUUUCUAAACCACAAACCCAAAUCUACAAUAUUUCUCUAAAAAAUGAAAACUUUCCAAAAAUAGCAGUUGUUAAGAAAAUUAUUUAAAAAUACAACCUAUUGAUGAAAAUUUCUGAGAAAAAUACCCAACUAUCCACAAAUAUACCAGUUGAUGAAAACCUCUGAAAGAAUAAUCAACUAUCCACAAAUAUACAACAUAUUGAUGAAAAUCUCUGAAAGAAUAAUCAACUAUCCGAAAAUAUUCAUGUUAUCUUAAUUUCUAAACCACAAACCCAAAUCUAUAAUAUUUCUCUAUAAAAAUGCAAACUUUUCAAAAAUAGCAGUUUUUAAGAAAAUUAUUAAAAAAUACAACCUAUUGAUGAAUAAUUCUGAAAGAAUACUCAAAUAUCCACAAAUAUUCUUGUUAUCUUAAUUUCUAAACCACAAACCCAAAUCUACAAUAUUUCUCUAAAAAAUGAAAACUUUCUAAAAAUAGCAGGUUUUGAGAAAAUUAUUUAAAAAUACAACCUAUUGAUGAAUAAUUCUGAAAGAAUACUCAAAUAUCCACAAAUAUUCUUGUUAUCUUAAUUUCUAAACCACAAACCCAAAUCUACAAUAUUUCUCUAAAAAAUGAAAACUUUCCAAAAAUAGCAGUUUUUGAGAAAAUUAUUUAAAAAUACAACCUAUUGAUGAAUAA
Molecule: long non-coding RNA, 1067 nt
Filed under: Brassica napus (rape)
Lineage: Eukaryota; Viridiplantae; Streptophyta; Magnoliopsida; Brassicales; Brassicaceae
Description: long non-coding RNA (BNAP_LNC012750)
Source: RNAcentral